GUGUCAGCAGCCGCGGUAAUACGUAGGGUGCAAGCGUUGUCCGGAAUUAUUGGGCGUAAAGGGCUCGUAGGCGGUCCGUCACGUCGGGAGUGAAAACUUGGGGCUCAACCCCAAGCCUGCUUCCGAUACGGGUGGACUAGAGGUAGGCAGGGGAGAACGGAAUUCCUGGUGUAGCGGUGGAAUGCGCAGAUAUCAGGAGGAACACCGGUGGCGAAGGCGGUUCUCUGGGCCUUACCUGACGCUGAGGAGCGAAAGCGUGGGGAGCGAACAGGAUUAGAAACCCGCGUAGUCC
Molecule: ribosomal RNA, 292 nt
Filed under: uncultured bacterium
Lineage: Bacteria
Description: partial 16S ribosomal RNA
Rfam family: Bacterial small subunit ribosomal RNA
Source: RNAcentral